Molecule: long non-coding RNA, 815 nt
Organism: Camelus dromedarius (Arabian camel)
Lineage: Eukaryota; Metazoa; Chordata; Mammalia; Artiodactyla; Camelidae
Exons: 4
Source: RefSeq, a predicted model, not a curated record
AGUUCUGCACAAAAGAGAAUUGAAUUGUGGAUCAGCUGGGAGGUUAUUGUGAUAGCCCUGGUGCCCUGCGCCUCCAGGGGACUGGAACCCUGUGGGAGCACAUAGCUGGCAUUUUUUUGCUUGAGAUUAGGAAGUCUUUUGCUUCCUCUGUGUGGAGGCUUGAAUUCAAUGGACUGUUGUGGUAGGAUGGAGUCUUUUUUUUGGUAAAAAUAAAACAGAGAUUUGGCUCCAGUUGUUACGAGGUGGUGGGCAAAUGAGCUCUCUCUCUGGUGUUUGGUGGAAAGCCAGUUUAAGAGCAUGUGGUCACAUUUUUGCCCAACAUCAUCAACAGCAUAAGGAAGCUGUGAUUCCAGCCUCAGAGGAGUGAGCUUUUAUCUCGAUGUGACUCUCCAAAGACCGUCUUUAUGCAAGAAGUGUCAGAGCCCCAUUUCAUAGACUCCAACCAACCAUAAAGAACUGUUACCCAGAGCAUUGUUCCCGAGGAAGAAAAGAGCCACACACCCACCCACACCUGCUUCGUGCCAAGAAUCUACAGUUGGGUUGCAAGGCAGCAUAUGUUGUCCUUUUGGAAAGAUGAAAGUGAGACCAAGUGAAGAGCCAGCAGAAGUGUCUCAAGGCAUCCCAAGGCAUCCCAGCCCCUGCUGCUGAGGUCAGAAGAGAAGAAAGGCCCCGGGCAUAGCCGCUGUCCUCCCACCAUGGGGCAGAACUGCCAGCGAGGAUGGGGUAUAGCAGCUGAAAAGCCAAUCCAGCCCCCGCUUACUGAAAGUAAGGUAAGAAACCUAAAUGUUCUUUCCAUUUCCUUCUGUAACAUUUUC